GCCGGGCAUGGUGGUGCACCCCUGUAAUCCCAGCACUCGGGAGGCUGAGGCAGGAGGAUCCAUGUGACUUCAAGACCAGCCUGGGCUACAUAGUGAGUUCCAGGGCAGUCUCAACUACAUAGUGAGACCCUGUCUCAAACAAACAAACAGACAAACAAAUGCACUAUACAAGUUCAGAGAGGUAGAGGUGAAUUUUUUUUUUCUCACUAUGUAAUUCAGACUGCUCUGGAACUCCCUUUGUAGCCCAGGCUGGUCUCGAACUCACAGCAAUCCUCCUGCCU
Molecule: small RNA, 281 nt
Filed under: Fukomys damarensis (Damara mole-rat)
Lineage: Eukaryota; Metazoa; Chordata; Mammalia; Rodentia; Bathyergidae
Description: Metazoan signal recognition particle RNA (ENSFDAG00000020150.1)
Source: RNAcentral